CAUGCAAGUCGAACGAAGUAGCAAUACUUAGUGGCAGACGGGUGAGUAACAUGUGGGUAUCUUCCCUUUGGUGAGGAAUAACACGAGGAAACUUGUGCUAAUACCUCAUAAGUCUUUACGGAGAAAGCUUUAUGCGCCAUUGGAUGAGCCCGCACUUGAUUAGUUUGUUGGUGGGGUAAUGGCCUACCAAGACAAUUAUCAAUAGCUGGUCUGAGAGGACGAUCAGCCACAUUGGGACUGAGACACGGCCCAGACUCCUACGGGAGGCAGCAGUAAGGAAUCUUGCACAAUGGGGGAAACCCUGAUGCAGCGAUGCCGCGUGAGUGAAGAAGGCCCUUGGGUUGUAAAACUCUUUCGUCGGGGAAGAAAAUGACUGUACCCGAAUAAGAAGGUCCGGCUAACUUCGUGCCAGCAGCCGCGGUAAUACGAAGGGACCUAGCGUAGUUCGGAAUUACUGGGCUUAAAGAGCUUCGUAGGUGGUUAAAAAAAGUUUGAUGGUGAAAUCCCAAGGCUCAACCCUUGGAACUG
This 528-nucleotide ribosomal RNA is filed under the name uncultured alpha proteobacterium NAC60-7. RNAcentral's name for it is "bacterial SSU rRNA". It matches the Rfam family "Bacterial small subunit ribosomal RNA", at positions 54 to 623 of the family's 1533-position model. The record is from RNAcentral. Lineage: Bacteria; Pseudomonadati; Pseudomonadota; Alphaproteobacteria; Candidatus Pelagibacterales.